RNAcentral lists this ribosomal RNA (427 nucleotides) under uncultured bacterium. RNAcentral's name for it is "partial 16S ribosomal RNA". It matches the Rfam family "Bacterial small subunit ribosomal RNA", at positions 355 to 774 of the family's 1533-position model. The record is from RNAcentral.
UGGGGAAUAUUGCACAAUGGGCGCAAGCCUGAUGCAGCCAUGCCGCGUGUAUGAAGACGGCCUUCGGGUUGUAAAGUACUUUCAGCGGGGAGGAAGGCGAUAAGGUUAAUAACCUUGUCGAUUGACGUUACCCGCAGAAGAAGCACCGGCUAACUCCGUGCCAGCAGCCGCGGUAAUACGGAGGGUGCAAGCGUUAAUCGGAAUUACUGGGCGUAAAGCGCACGCAGGCGGUCUGUCAAGUCGGAUGUGAAAUCCCCGGGCUCAACCUGGGAACUGCAUUCGAAACUGGCAGGCUAGAGUCUUGUAGAGGGGGGUAGAAUUCCAGGUGUAGCGGUGAAAUGCGUAGAGAUCUGGAGGAAUACCGGUGGCGAAGGCGGCCCCCUGGACAAAGACUGACGCUCAGGUGCGAAAGCGUGGGGAGCAAACA